GACGAACGCUGGCGGCGUGCUUAACACAUGCAAGUCGAACGGAAAGGCCCUGCUUUUGUGGGGUGCUCGAGUGGCGAACGGGUGAGUAACACGUGAGUAACCUGCCCUUGACUUUGGGAUAACUUCAGGAAACUGGGGCUAAUACCGGAUAGGAGCUCCUGCUGCAUGGUGGGGGUUGGAAAGUUUCGGCGGGUGGGGAUGGACUCGCGGCUUAUCAGCUUGUUGGUGGGGUAGUGGCUUACCAAGGCUUUGACGGGUAGCCGGCCUGAGAGGGUGACCGGCCACAUUGGGACUGAGAUACGGCCCAGAGUCCUACGGGAGGCAGAAGUGGGGAAUAUUGCACAAUGGGAGGAAGACUGAUGCAGCAACGCCGCGUGCGGGAUGACGGCCUUCGGGUUGUAAACCGCUUUCGCCUGUGACGAAGAGUGAGUGACGGUAAUGGGUAAAGAAGCACCGGCUAACUACGUG
This 468-nucleotide ribosomal RNA is filed under the name uncultured bacterium. RNAcentral describes it as "partial 16S ribosomal RNA". It matches the Rfam family "Bacterial small subunit ribosomal RNA", at positions 28 to 507 of the family's 1533-position model. The record is from RNAcentral.